GACGUAGGUGGCGAGCGUUAUUCGGAUUUAUUGGGCGUAAAGGGUUCGUAGGGGGUGGUCUAAGUCAGGUGUGAAAGCCCAAGGCUCAACCUUGGAACUGCACCUGAGACUGGGCCGCUAGAGGAUCGUAGAGGAGUGUGGAAUUGCUGGUGUAGCGGUGGAAUGCGUGGAUAUCAGCAGGAACACCAACGGCGAAGGCAGCACUCUGGACGACACCUGACCCUGAGGAACGAAAGCUGGGGGAGCAAACAGG
RNAcentral lists this ribosomal RNA (253 nucleotides) under uncultured bacterium. RNAcentral describes it as "partial 16S ribosomal RNA". It matches the Rfam family "Bacterial small subunit ribosomal RNA", at positions 524 to 776 of the family's 1533-position model. The record is from RNAcentral.